Molecule: ribosomal RNA, 1468 nt
Filed under: uncultured bacterium
Lineage: Bacteria
Description: 16S ribosomal RNA
Rfam family: Bacterial small subunit ribosomal RNA
Source: RNAcentral
GGUGAACGCUGGCGGCGUGCUUAACACAUGCAAGUCGAGCGGGUAUCCGCAAGGAUACCAGCGGCGCACGGGUGAGUAAUACGUAGGUAACCUGCCCUUCAGAGGGGAAUAACUGGGGGAAACUCCAGCUAAUGCCCCAUACGAUCCAACAAUGGCGGUUGUUGGAUGAAAGGAGCGUUUGCUUCGCUGAGGGAGGGGCCUGCGUCCCAUCAGGUAGUUGGUGAGGUAACGGCCCACCAAGCCUACGACGGGUAGCCGACCUGAGAGGGUGGCCGGCCACAAGGGCACUGAGACACGGGCCCUACUCCUACGGGAGGCAGCAGUGGGGAAUUUUGGACAAUGGGCGAAAGCCUGAUCCAGCGACGCCGCGUGGGGGACGAAGCCCUUCGGGGUGUAAACCCCUGCUGUGAGGGACGAAUAAGGUUCGGAGGAAAUGCCGAGCCGAUGACGGUACCUCACGAGAAAGCCCCGGCUAACUACGUGCCAGCAGCCGCGGUAAUACGUAGGGGGCGAGCGUUACCCGGAUUCACUGGGCGUAAAGGGGGCGUAGGCGACUCAGUGUGUCGGGUGUGAAAUCCCACGGCUCAACCGUGGAAUUGCGCCCGAAACUACUGGGUUUGGGGCUGGUAGAGGGAGAUGGAACUGCUGGUGUAGGGGUGAAAUCCGUAGAUAUCAGCAGGAACGCCGGUGGGGAAGCCGGUCUCCUGGGCCAUGCCCGACGCUGAGGCCCGAAAGCUAGGGGAGCAAACCGGAUUAGAUACCCGGGUAGUCCUAGCCGUAAACGAUGCUCACUAGGUGUGGGGGAGUCAUUCCUCCGCGCUGCAGUUAACGCGUUAAGUGAGCCGCCUGGGGAGUACGCCCGCAAGGUGAAACUCAAAGGAAUUGGCGGGACCCCGCACAAGCGGUGGAGCGUGUGGUUUAAUUGGAUGCUAAGCCAAGAACCUUACCAGGGCUUGACAUGCGGGUAGUACUAACCCGAAAGGGAAGGGACCCUUUCUUUUUGGAAAGGGAGCUCGCACAGGUGGUGCACGGCCGUCGUCAGCUCGUGCCGUGAGGUGUUGGGUUAAGUCCCGCAACGAGCGCAACCCCUGCCCUUAGUUGCCAGCGGUUCGGCCGGGCACUCUAAGGGGACUGCCGGCGACGAGCCGGAGGAAGGAGGGGACGACGUCAGGUACUCGUGCCCUUUAUGCCCUGGGCUACACACGCGCUACAAUGGGUGGUACAAUGGGUUGCUACUUCGCGAGGAGAAGCUAAUCCCAAAAACCACCCCCAGUUCAGAUCGCAGGCUGCAACCCGCCUGCGUGAAGCCGGAAUCGCUAGUAAUCGCGGAUCAGCCACGCCGCGGUGAAUACGUUCCCGGGGUUUGCACACACCGCCCGUCAAGCCACCCGAGUCGGGGGCACCUGAAGACGCUUAUCCUAACCCGAAAGGGAGGGAAGGCGUUGAAGGUGAAUCUGGUGAGGGGGGC